AAUUCGAUUGAGUUUGAUCAUGGCUCAGAACGAACGCUGGCGGCGCGCCUAAUACAUGCAAGUCGAGCGAGAAGACGUAGCAAUACGUUUGUAAAGCGGCGAACGGGUGAGGAGCACAUGGGUAACCUACCCUCGAGUGGGGAAUAACUAGCCGAAAGGUUAGCUAAUACCGCGUACGCUUCUUGGACUUCGGUUCAGGGAGGAAAGCGAUACCGUGGGUAUCGCGCUCUUGGAUGGGCUCAUGUCCUAUCAGCUUGUUGGUGAGGUAACGGCUCACCAAGGCUUCGACGGGUAGCUGGUCUGAGAGGACGAUCAGCCACACUGGCACUGCGACACGGGCCAGACUCCUACGGGAGGCAGCAGUAAGGAAUAUUGCGCAAUGGGCGAAAGCCUGACGCAGCGACGCCGCGUGGGGGAUGAAGGUCUUCGGAUUGUAAACCCCUUUCGGGAGGGAAGAUGGAACGAGCAAUCGUUCGGACGGUACCUCCAGAAGCAGCCACGGCUAACUUCGUGCCAGCAGCCGCGGUAAUACGAAGGUGGCAAGCGUUGUUCGGAUUUACUGGGCGUACAGGGAGCGUAGGCGGUUCGGUAAGCCCUCUGUGAAAUCUCCAGGCUUAACCUAGAACAGUCGGAGGGGACUGUCGGGCUAGAGGACGGGAGA
RNAcentral lists this ribosomal RNA (661 nucleotides) under uncultured bacterium. RNAcentral's name for it is "bacterial SSU rRNA". It matches the Rfam family "Bacterial small subunit ribosomal RNA", at positions 1 to 655 of the family's 1533-position model. The record is from RNAcentral.